GCGAAAACUUUGCAAUGCGAGAAAUCGUGACAAGGGAACUCCGAGCGCCCGUAAAUUCGGGCUGUCCAUCAGUUUAAAAAACUGGUGAAGAAAGGGCCGGGCAAGACCGGUGCCAGCCGCCGCGGUAAUACCGGCGGCUCGAGUGGUGGCCACUAUUACUGGGCUUAAAGCGUUCGUAGCUGGUCUGUUAAGUCUCUGGGGAAAUCUACUGGCUUAACCAAUAGGCGUCUCAGGGAUACUGGCAGACUAGGGACCGGGAGAGGUGAGAGGUACUCCAGGGGUAGGAGUGAAAUCCUGUAAUCCUUGGGGGACCACCUGUGGCGAAGGCGUCUCACCAGAACGGCUCCGACAGUGAGGGACGAAAGCUGGGGGAGCAAACCGGAUUAGAUACCCGGGUAGUCCCAGCUGUAAACGAUGCGCGUUAGGUGCAUCGGUGACCACGAGUCACCGAGGUGCCGAAGAGAAAUCGUGAAACGUGCCGCCUGGGAAGUACGGUCGCAAGGCUGAAACU
This 511-nucleotide ribosomal RNA is filed under the name uncultured archaeon. RNAcentral describes it as "bacterial SSU rRNA". It matches the Rfam family "Archaeal small subunit ribosomal RNA", at positions 341 to 856 of the family's 1478-position model. The record is from RNAcentral.